CUGGCAGUCAGAGGCGAUGAAGGACGUGCUAAUCUGCGAUAAGCGUCGGUAAGGUGAUAUGAACCGUUAUAACCGGCGAUUUCCGAAUGGGGAAACCCAGUGUGUUUCGACACACUAUCAUUAACUGAAUCCAUAGGUUAAUGAGGCGAACCGGGGGAACUGAAACAUCUAAGUACCCCGAGGAAAAGAAAUCAACCGAGAUUCCCCCAGUAGCGGCGAGCGAACGGGGAGCAGCCCAGAGCCUGAAUCAGUGUGUGUGUUAGUGGAAGCGUCUGGAAAGGCGCGCGAUACAGGGUGACAGCCCCGUACACAAAAAUGCACAUGCUGUGAGCUCGAUGAGUAGGGCGGGACACGUGGUAUCCUGUCUGAAUAUGGGGGGACCAUCCUCCAAGGCUAAAUACUCCUGACUGACCGAUAGUGAACCAGUACCGUGAGGGAAAGGCGAAAAGAACCCCGGCGAGGGGAGUGAAAAAGAACCUGAAACCGUGUACGUACA
RNAcentral lists this ribosomal RNA (496 nucleotides) under Escherichia coli. Its description in RNAcentral is "partial 23S ribosomal RNA". It matches the Rfam family "Bacterial large subunit ribosomal RNA", at positions 33 to 568 of the family's 2925-position model. The record is from RNAcentral. Lineage: Bacteria; Pseudomonadati; Pseudomonadota; Gammaproteobacteria; Enterobacterales; Enterobacteriaceae.